UGACGAGGAACGGGAGCAUUUUGAGGAGAGAACAGAUCCAGCAGAGGACAGUAAAGCAAGCUGCUGUGACAAUGGGAAUGUGUCUGCAUCACCCUUGCCUUCACCAGCACCUCACAUCAGGACACCACAUCAGGUUUGCAGGACCUCCAUUUAUCGUCUCCCCUCCAGAGAACAUAACCCUGAACAUAUCCCAGGAUGCAUUCUUCACCUGUCAGGCCGAGGCAUAUCCAGGCAACAUGACGUACACCUGGUUCUGGGAGGAAGAUAACGUCUUCUUCAAGAAGUAAAGUUAUGAUCGGGUUUGUUACUGUAUCACAUCUCACUGCUUCUGUGCUUCACUACCAUCAUCCUCAUUCAGAGAUCAGGAUUACUUACAGCAUGAAUGCGUGCAACUCUGUUACAGGAAUUUUAAAAUGUUUUUUAAAAUUGUUUAAAAUGUAGUCAAUCAGCCAAGAAGUGUUGGAUGAAGCUUGUAGUAAAAUCUUGCUAGGAAAAAAUUCUACGGCAUCCAAAAUAUUCCAAUAAACAGCUGAUCGUAUUCAUUUGUUUUCAAACAACAUAUUUAGCUUAUGCAACCAUUAGUUUGAAAUAAAAUUUGUGGAAAUAAAAUGAAACAUUUAGAGAACUUUGAGAGACAGGACCUAGAGGACGUCUUGUAAAAGAUCUAAAGCAAACACCCAACAUGUCUUGGCUGAUCGAUGGAGUUUAUGAUGGUAGUUAGAAAAUGAUUUGUUUUUUCACAGUAAAAGGUCUAUUCAUCAUGUGAUUUAAAUUAAAAGUUAUUAUAUGGA
This is a long non-coding RNA of Clarias gariepinus (North African catfish), 791 nucleotides long. RefSeq lists it as uncharacterized. The record is from RefSeq and is a predicted model, not a curated record. The transcript has 3 exons. Lineage: Eukaryota; Metazoa; Chordata; Actinopteri; Siluriformes; Clariidae.